UACGUAGGGGGCAAGCGUUGUUCGGAAUUACUGGGCGUAAAGGGCGUGUAGGCGGUGCGGUAUGUUGGACGUGAAAUCCCCGGGCUCAACUCGGGGCGGUCGUUCAAAACUGCCGUGCUAGAGUGUGGGAGAGGGAAGUGGAAUUCCCGGUGUAGCGGUGAAGUGCGUAGAUAUCGGGAAGAACACCUGUGGCGAAGGCGGCUUCCUGGCCCGCAACUGACGCUGAGGCGCGAAAGCUAGGGGAGCAAACAGG
Molecule: ribosomal RNA, 253 nt
Filed under: uncultured bacterium
Lineage: Bacteria
Description: partial 16S ribosomal RNA
Rfam family: Bacterial small subunit ribosomal RNA
Source: RNAcentral